UGGUUUAUGGUUUAUAGUCCAUAAGAUUUGGUAUAUGGUUCAUGGGAUUUGGUCCAUGAGAUGUGGUAGGAUUUGUUUCAUGGACUUGGGUAUGAAUCCAAGUUGGAAGUCGGGUUUGGGUUCUAUUUGUGGUCCGGAUUGGAUUUGAGUUUAGAAUUUUAUUUGUGGAUUGGUUGGUUUUGGGCUUAUCUGUGGACUGUAUUUGAUUUUGGGUUUUAUUUGUAGACUUGGUUUUGGUUUGGAAAUUUGAUUUGGGUUUCGGGUUUGGGUUUUUUUAUUUUGGUUUGGAUUUGGGUUUCGAUUGGGUUUUAUUUGCAGACUGAAUUUGAUUUGGGUUUAGGUUUGGGUUUUGGGUUUGGAUUUGGAUUUAGAUUUGGAUUUGAUUUGGUUUGGGUUCGUAUGUGAACUUGGUUUGAUUUGGGUUUGAAUGUGAACUUGGUUUGAUUUGGGUUGUAUGUGAACUUGAUUUGGUUUGAGUUUGAAUGUGAACUUGGUUUGAUUUGGGUUGUAUGUGAACUUGAUUUUCUUUCCAAUUCUAUUUCGGAUUCGAGGCAAUCCACUUUUGAUUUUGCAACUUGAUUCGAAUCCGAAGAAAUCCCUUUUUGAUUUUGGUUUGAUUUGGGGUCCGAAGAAAUCUCCGUUUGAUCUCGAUUUGGAUUUAGGGUCUGAAGAAAUCCCCGUUUUGAUUUUUCAAUUUGAUUUAAGGUCCGAAGAAAUUCCCGUUUGAUUUCGAUUUGGAUUUGAUUUUUCAAUUUGAUUUGGGGUCCGAAGAAAUCCCCGUUUGAUUAUCCAAUUGGAUUCGAUUUGGGGUCCGAAGAAAUCCCCGUUUGAUUCUCCAAUUUGGAUUUGAUUUUUCAAUUUGAUUUGGGGUCCGAAGAAAUACCCGUUUGAUUCUCCAAUUGGAUUCGAUUUGGAGUCCGAAGAAAUUCCCGUUUGAUUCUCCAAUUUGGAUUCGAUUUUCCAAUUUGAUUUUCGGUCCGAAGAAAUCCCAAUUUGAUUCUUCAAUUGGAUUUGAUUUGGGGUCCGAAGAAAUCCUCGUUUGAUUCUCCAAUUUAGAUUUGAUUUUUCAAUUUGAUUUGGAUUUGGGGUCCGAAGAAAUCCCCAUUUUGAUUUUCCAAUUUGAUUUGGGGUCCGAAAAAAUCCCUGUUUGAUUCUCCAAUUGGAUUUGAUUUAGGGUCCGAAGAAAUCCCCGUUUUAAUUUUAAUUUGGGGUCCGAAGAAAUCCCCGUUUGAUUCUCCAAUUGGAUUUGAUUUGGGGUCCGAAGAAAUUCCCGUUUGAUUCUCCAAUUGGAUUUGAUUUGGGGUCCGAAGAAAUCCCCAUUUUCAUUUUGAUUUGGGGUCCGAAGAAAUUCCCGUUUAGUUCUGAUUUGGGGUCCGAAGAAACGGGGAAUCUUUGAUUCCCCUCCCCUCUUCUGGCGAUACUUCCCCGGUGAUGCUGUAGAUGUCGUCGGCGAAGUUGUUGACGGUAGCAUGGAUCUGUUCAGCAGUCGGAUUUGAUUUGACAUUUUCGAAGAAAUAUUGAAUGGUCCGAAAAAACGGGGAAUCAAAGAUUCUCCUCCCUUCUUCUUUCGAAAGUAUCAAACCGGCGAUACUGUAGACGUCGUCGGUGAAGUUGUUGACGGUGGCACGGAUCUGUUAGGCCGUCGGAUUUAAUUUGACAUUUUCGAAGAAAUAUUGAAGGGUCCGAAGGAACGGGGAAUUAAAGAUUCCCCUCCCCUCUUCUUUCGAAAGUAUGAAACCGGCGAUGUUGGGGUGGUCGCGGCAAUAUAGAUCACCCAUUCCAUCAUCAACAACUUCGAAUGGGGUAUUGAGAGGUCCGAAGAAUCGGAGAAUCAAAGAUUCCCCUCCACUCUCCCAUCGAAACCAUCUAGAUGGUAUGGAUAGCUACGAUCGCAGGACCAAAAAAGAAAAAAAAAAAGGAGGGGAAAGAAAAGAGAUUUUUUUUUCUUCUUCUUCAUUUUUCUUCAUUUUUUUUUUUACCUGUUGAUCAAAUGACGCAUUGGAUGAAUCAGCUCGACGAUUCGUCCACCUUUCCACGGCUCGGCGAUCUCUCCUCCUUUUCACGGCUCGGCGAUUUCUCCUCCUUUCUGCGACUCGGCGAUCCUCCUCCUUUCCGCGACUCGGCGAUAUCUCCUUUUUUGAAUUUUUUGUAUGUCGGAACGAGUGUAGUAAUCUAUCUUCUUUUUUUUUGUUCUUUGUCUAUCGUAUCGUCUUCGUAAAAAAAUUCUCCCAUGUUUGAUUUCGGUUCUCGUAUUUAUAAUAGAAGGGGUGGUGAGAGAUAUUUUGAGGGAUUCGAAAUUCGAAUUUGAAUUUCGAAUAGGUUGUUGGAUGGUUGGAGGAUUUUUGGGAAUUGGUUGGAGAUUCAAAAUUCGAAAUCGAAUUUUGAAUCGGUUGUUGGAUGGUUGGAAUUGGUUGGGAAUUCGAAAUUCGAAAUCGAAUUUUAAAUCAGUUGUUGGAUGGUUGGAGGAUUUUUGGGAAUUGGUUAGGGAUUCGAAAUUCGAAAUCGAAUUUUGAAUUGGUUGUUGGAGGAUAUUUUGGAAAUUGGUUGGAAAUUCGAAAUUCGAAAUUGAAUUUUGAAUGGGUUGUUGGAUUGUUAGGUAUUCAAAAUUCGAAUGAGAGAUAUUUUGGGUGUUGGUUCGAAAUUCGAAAUCGAAUUUCGAAUCGAAUUUGAAUAUGGUAUUCAAGAUUGAAUUUUUAAAUAGUGGCGUAAAAAUGUGUGGCCGUUAUUUCAUGAAUAGGGCUGAAAUUGGCCAUACUUUGAUGAAACUUGUUGGGCACGAAUUUCAUUGGGCUGAAAUGAUGCCCAAAUUUUUGUAUAGGCCUAAAAUCUUACAGGGCUUUCAUGAGGCCCAUUAAUUCACAUUUAUGAAUGGGCCUAUUGUGGAUUAAAUCAUAAUUAUUAUUGGCCCAAGAUUUCUCAGUCAACAUAAGAUCUAUUGGGAUUGUAUGAAUCCGAAUUUAAUCGGUUUUAAUUACUUUACCUAAAUUUUUUUCACUUCAAACAACAAACGGCUCCGUUGCUAUAUAUAUAUAUAUAUAUAUAUAUAUAUAUAUAUAUAUAUAUAUAUAUAUAUAUAUUAUAUAUAUAUAUAUAUAUAUAUAUAUAUAUAUAUAUAUACACAUUAUCUCCAUGACUAAAUCUUACAUAUGUCACCACCUCAAUUUGAGGAGGAGUGGUUACUUUUAUUUUUUUUUAUUUUUUCUCCUUCUCUUUAGAUUUACUAAGGCCUAAAUAAUUUCUUUUUUUUAAUCCAUUUUCUUUACCUUUGGUCUUCCACCCUUUUUUUUAAAAUUUGCAAAUUCGAAUCUUUAUUGAGCUUUAUAUUCGAAGUCAAUUAUUGAUUAAAAAUGAUAUAUAUAUAUAUAUAUAUAUAUAUAUAUAUAAUAUAUAUAUAUAUAUAUAUAUAUAUAUAUAUAUAUAUAUAUAAUAGAGUUGAGCUAGAAUACUAUUGAUAGCAAACGGGCUCCGUUGCCACCCAUUUGUUUUCGACGAUGGAGCCUCCAAAUCGAUGAUCGGCACCGUUGAACAUGAUCUAUACCACUCGAAGUGUUUAGAAAUCAAAUUUCAUAUAUUUUCGAUAUUGUUCUUUAUCCAUCGAGUGGACACAAAAAAUGAACGGCUAAAAUAAAAAUAAAUAUUCUUUAAAAAUGAUGAUAGGAGUCUGGUAAUCAGAUCAAGAGUAUAGAUCUUGUUUUAAAUAGUUUAAAGAAUUUUCUAACAAAAAUUUAAUUGAUUUGGAUUCUUUACACCGUUAAACGAGGAAACGCCUCAUAUCGACCAUUAAAAUUACAAAUUUUGAAACCCAUUGAUCAUUAGGCAAAUGAUAUCGAAAAGAUUUAAAAUUUGAUUUCUAAACACUUCAAGUGGUAUAGAUCAUGUUCAACGGUGCGAUCGUCGAUUUGGGAAGCUCUAUCCUCGAAAACAAAUGAGUAGCAACGGAGCCCGUUUGCUAUCGAUAGUAUUCUAGCGUCAACUCUGUAUAUAUAUAUAUAUAUAUAUAUAUAGAGAGAGAGAGAGAGAGAGAGAGAGAGAGAGCGCUAGGCUUGUAUACUAUCGUAGCACGGAGGCCUCCGUGCUACCAAAUUGUUUUCAAUGAUGCGGUUUUUAAAUCGACGAUCGGCUCCGUUAGACUUGAUCUACAAUAUUAAAAGUAUUUGAAAACUAAAUUUUAUAAUUUUUCGACAUCAUUUGGCUAGUGAUCAAAAGGUCUCAAAAUUGACAAUUUUAAUGGUAGAUGUGACGCUUUUGUGAAUUUAACAGUAUAAAACAAUCCAAAUCCGAUAAAAUUUUUAUAGAAAUUUUUUUUCACUAUUUAAAGUAAGUUCAGUACCUUUGAUCUUAAAUUCAAGUCUUUUAUCAUCAUUUUUUUUGAGAUUUUUAUUUUCAGCCGUUUAUUUUUAGACUACUCAUUUGAUAGGUAAUGAUGCCGAAAAAGUAUGAAAUUUAAUUUUAAAGUAUUUUGAAUAGUGUAGAUCAAGUCUAAUGGGCCCAAUCGUCGAUUUGGAAGCCGCAUCAUUGAAAACAACUCGGUAGCACGGAGGCCUCCGUGCUACCGAUAGUAUAUCAGCCUAGCUCUCUCUCUCUCUCUAUAUAUAUAUAUAGAGUCCGGCUACUAUACUAUUAAUAGCACGAAACACUUGGUUAGCUACCAAGUUUUCUGCCGUUAGAUAUACCAUUUUUAUCAUUUUCACCCGUUAGAUCAUACUAUUCAUUCAACCAACCAUCCACUCAACCCACAUCAUCCUAACCGCACUUCUCUUAAUCCAAUGGCCAAAAACUUGGUAGCACCAAUGACUUGGUGCUAUUAAUAGUGUAUUAGCCUAGUUCUAUAUAUAUAUGGUCCCACAUCAUCCUAACCGCACAUCACUUAAUCCAAUGACCAAAAACUUGGUAGCACCAAUGACUUGGUGCUAUUAAUAGUAUAUUAGACUAAUUCUAUAUAUAUAUAUAUAUAUAUAUAUAUACUAGUUGAACGUACGUGCAACUGCACGUAACAAUUAUUUUAAUUUAUAUUAAAUCAAUAAAUAUUUGUAAAUCAUAUUUAUUCAAAAAUUUAGAAUAAAAUAUUUUCUAAAUUUAUAUAUUACAUUUUAUUAGAAAAUAUCUACAAUAUUAAAUUUAAAUUUUAAUAUAAAAUAGAUGGAUAAAUUUGAUAUCAAAAAUCAAAAAAUAAAUUUAAUUCAAAUUUAAACUCAAAUUUAAAUUUUAAUGUAAAAUAAAUAGAUAGAAGUACUACUUUUUAACAGAUUAAACAUAAUAGUUCAUUUUUAUUUGCAAUAUUUUUAACUAAUUGAUCAUAACCGUUCGUAGAAUUGAAGUUAUAGAAGUUAUAGAUAGGUAUGAAUGUUUUUUUUAACAAAUUAAUCAUAAUCAUUCGUUCUUAUUUUUGAUAAUUUUUUACAAAUUGAUCAUAAAUUUGUAUAUCAUAUUAAUUCAAAAAUAUGAUUUACAAAUUUAUCAACCAAUCUAUCUUUUAAAUUAUUUCCAUUGUAAUAUAUAGAUAGUAAAUUAAUUUUAAAUUUUGAAUUGAAAUAUAGACUUGCAGUAGAUAUUCUGGCAAAAAUUUGGAUAAGCAUGAAUUUUUUUUCUCUUUUAGAGAGAAAAAAAUUAAAUAAAAUUUUAAUUAAAAUAUAAAUUCACAGUAAAUAUCUUUCGGGUGGCAAAAAAAAUUGGAUAAGUGUAUUUUUUUUUAUUUUAGAGAUAAACAGAAAUUUAAAGUUUGUUUCAUUACGUUAUUUAUUUUACGUAAGGAAAAAGGAUAUCAAUAUUUUUUUCCCACCAAAAAUGGUCUGUCGAUAGACCCAAAUUUGAAAUUACGGGCUUUAUAUAUACUAGCUGAGUGUACGUGCAACUGCACGUAACAAUUAUUUUAAUUUAUUUUUAAAUCAAUAAUAUUUGUAUCAUAUUUAUCAAAAAUUUAUAAUUUGUUAAAUUUAUAUAUUACAUUUGAGCAAUUAACAUGCUAAAAAAAAAUAUAUUUGAAAUUAAAUAGAAAAAUAUAAAUCUGUUUAUCUUAAAAAGAAAAGAUAUUUUGAAAUUCUAAAAUUAAUAUAAAAAAAAACAAAAAAUCCGUUAUCUUUUAUAGGAUUUUCAUACCAAAAUAUUUAAAAAAAGAUAUUUUAAAAUAAAUUGAAAAAAUAUCUUUAUAUGAUUUUCACACCCGUAAUCUGUUUAUAAAACUUACUUUUUUAAAAUUAAAUAGAAAUACCUAAAAAGAUAUUUUAAAAUAAAUAGAAAAAUAUAAGUAAUCGGUUAUAGAGACAUACGUAUGCAUAGAGUUUCAUAUUUUAUUCUUAUAUUUAAAAUUUUUUUUGUACGCAAGAGGAAAAUGGGCGCUAUUUUCCCGCCGAAAUAUGGGUCUGUCGACAGACCCAAAUUUGAAUAUACGUGCUUUUAUAUAUAGUAUAGUGAUAUAGUAUAGAUAAAAUUAUCUAAUAUAUUAUGUGAGUUUUUCUUUUAGUCAUUUUAUUUAAUUAUCGUUUAUAAAAUAAUAUUAAUCAUACUAAUAAUUUUUAUUCGGACGAUUAAUUUUUUCAUUAAAAUUUUUUUUGAAAAAUAUUUGUUUAUAAUACAUACUAUAUUUAAUAUUUUUAUACUAAAUAAUAUUCUCAAUUUUUAUAAAUUUUUAUUUUAAUAAGCAUAUAUCCGUAGUGAGGGCGAGUCGUUACAUUAGCCUAUCCAUGGGGCCUCCCUCGCCGCCCUCACACGCUUCCUCAAGCCGUAUUAAUUCCUCCCCUCCGGCGUGUGCGGCCCGCGUGUCGGCUCAGGGCUAGCCCGUGACAUGGAGCCGUUACACUGACGCGCCGCCUGCAAAGCCUGCCACUGAUCCAGCGACGUUAACGAAAAGGCGCGGAAGACGGGGGCGGGUCACGGUCACGUUCUCACAGCAUCGCUGCCGUCACGCCCUAAUCCAGCAGAAGAGACGCUUCUUUUCCCCCCCCCCGCCUCCCCCCCCCUCCCCCCCCUCUGAGUCCCCCCCUCAUACUCAGAUAAAUCAUUGCGUGCGCCUGGUGCACCGUGCACCGCACCACUUAAAAGGUUUGUUUGGUUCGCCCAUUUUUCAUCCUAAAAUUAAAAUCGGAAUGAAGAAAUCUGUUUGUUUGUGAAUGUUUGGUUAUAAGAGAUUCCCCCCCUCAUACUCAGAUAAAUCAUUGCGUGCGCCUGGUGCCCCGUGCACCGCACCACCUAAAAGGCUUGUUUGGUUCGCCUAUUUUUCAUCCUAAAAUUGAAAUCGGAAUGGAGAAAUUUGUUUGUGUGUGUUUGGUUAUGAGAGAUUUCCAUUUCCAUUUCCAUUUCCAUUUCCAAGUAAAUGAAAAUCUGCUAAUUAUCUCUUUUUUCAAUCCGGUCUAGGAGGCCAUAUGGAAAAUUGAAUCCGAACGGAAUAGAUUUAUUCGGAUUAAAUUUAACUUUUUUUAACUUAUUUUCUAAUUAAACAAAUGUUUAAGUUUAAACAUUAUGUUUACAAAUUUUAAUUUUAAUUUGAAAUUAAAUUAAAAAUUAAAAUCCAAUCAAGUAUUUCGAAUUUAAUUUAUAAACUUAGAAUUUUAAUUUAAAUAUAAUUUAAAAUCUAAAUUUUUAUUCAAUUUUUUAUUUAAAAUUUAAAUUAAAUUUAUGAAUUUAAUUUGAAAUUUAAAUUAAAGUUUAAAUUUGAAUAAAUCGAAAUUUAAUUUUAUAUUUUGAAUUAUCCAUUCAUGUCAAAUCUUAAUUUUUCUAAAAAAUAUAUUUAAAAUUUUGACAUUAUUUUAAAAUUUUGAAGUAAAUUUUUAAUAUUUAAUUUUUAAUUUGAAUUUAAACUAAUAUAUUGUAAAAAUAAAAUUGACAUAUUAAUUUAAUUGCAUUUCUGAUAUCUAUCCAAACCAAAUACCGAUAAUAAGAAUGAUUCAUUUCGAUUUCGAUUCAAGUGGCGAACCAAAUAAUAUGCGAUUUUGUUUCUAGCUUAUUCUUAUUCUGAUUCCGAUAUCGAUUCCGAUUUUGAACCAAACGCAUCUAAAUUGUACUACAAAGACCUCAAAAUCAAAAGUUUCAACGAUGUAAAACUGUUAAAUGACAUCUAGAAGACAAAAAUUGAAAACAAAAAAUUCACAUCCUAUUUGGCAUCUUUGUCAGCUUUUUAAAAUAAAAUUUUCAUACAAAAAUGUAUAGGAAUGGACGGUGAAUUGCAUUUUAUACCUAAAAUAUUUAUUUAGCAAUAAAAAAAACUUGAAUGCAAUCUUUAAUUUUUCUUCUUUUUUUUUUUUUUGAAAAGAAUUGAUCAUUCAUCAUCUGACUGGAGUGCAUUAUAAGCUGACUACUAAUGAUAACAUUCAAGAGAGCACUUCAUUCUACCACAUAUUUAAUAAUAUAAAAUCGGUGUUAAAAAAUAAAGAAAAAAAAAAAGUAGUAUAUGCAAAACAAGGCCUACGCGGUCUAUCUAUUUUUAAUUUACACUAUUGAUUUUAUUAAAACCAGAUGCACAAGUAAUAGAUGUCAAAAUUAAUGAAUUUUUCGUAUUUUUAUUAACCUAAGGAAGCAAUUGAAACUCUUUAAAAAAUUCACAAAGAGACAAGUAAAAGUAGCAGUAGAUGGCAUAUUAAACAGCAAGUACUACUAAUACCCUAAUUAAUACAUAAGAGACCAUUUACAAAAGCAUCUUUGAUUGAGGGUGGGAACAAAAACUUUACAUUUAACAAAUCCAACAAUCAUGUUGAAAGUGUAGACCCUGGUGGGGAGCCCUCUUUUUCUAUAAGGCUGAAUCACACUUUUGGCCCACAAUUUAUAAGUUAGCAAUCAAGGUUUAAUUUGUUGUAAUUUUAUAUUUAAACAUUUUAAAUUAUCUCAAUCAAGUCUUACAAAUUAAAUUAAUUGACUAAAUAUUUAUAUACUGCUAAUGAAAUAGUGAUAUUGUGUUAUUGUAAUUGAUGACAAGAUAAUAAUUAAGGCUUAUUUUCACUUUGGCCAAAUCGACAAGUCAAUAUUUAUACUCAAGUUAAUUGGGUUGUGAAACGUGCAUUCAAUGAGUUAUAAAGUUUGAAUUUGAAAUGACAACGAAUUAAUAUCUUAAGAUUAAAGUGUCAAGCACAUCAUAAUUUAAGAAUCAAAAGUGUAAUCUACUCUUUUUCACAAAUAUAUUAUUUAGGGUUAAUUGCAUACACUUUCCUGUAAAUAUGGUGAAUUACAAAUAUAUUCCUACAAAACUCAACUUUCAUAAGUUGUUCCUGCAAGAGUCCUAAUGUAUGCAAAUAUGUCUCUCUGAUUAGGAUCUGUUAGGGAACUGCUAAUUUUUUAACAAUACGCUUGUGAAAUGAUAAUUUUGCCCUCACAAAUAUGUCCUUCCAAAAAUACUCUCUCUUUCUCCUCUUCCUCUUCGGGCCGCCGAAGUGGACGGCGACGGCAGCGGAUCAUCGACGACGACGACAAAGAAGAAAAAAGAGGAGAAGAGGAGGAUAUGAAGAAGAAGAAGAAGGAGGUGGCGGAGGUCGGAGGAGCUCGGAGGCGAGGGGGUUUGCGGUGAGGUCGGGGACGAGUUCGCCGGCGACGAAGAUGAGGGAAGAAAAAAAGGGAGAGGAAGAAGAAGGGAGAAGAGGGAGAGGAAGAAGGAAGAGGAAGAGGAAAAUGGAGAGGGUUCGCCGUCGCGGCGAGGUCGGGGUUGGCGAGGUCGGGGUCGGGUUCAUCGGUGACGAAGAAGAGGGAAGAGGAAGAGGGAGGGGAAGAGGGAAAAGGAAGAGAAACAGAGAGAGGGUUCGCCGCCGCUGUGAGGCCGGGUCGGGUUCGCCGGCGACGAAGGAAGAGGGAAGAGGAAGUGGGAGGGGAAGAAGAAAGGGGUAAAAUUAUAAAUUCAUCUUAUUAAUUAACUAUAUAUGGUUUAGUAUUUUAACUAUGGAUAAUGAAAUUUCUCUAACGAAAACUAACGGCAGUGACAUAUCUGCAUAUAUUAGGACUUUUGCAGGGACAAUUUAUAAAAGUUGAAUUUUGCAGGGAUAUAUUUGUAAUUCAUCAUGUUUGUAGAAACAUGUAUGCAAUUAACCCGUAUUAUUUAUAUUAAUAUAUGGCGGGCAAUUUAGCUCAUUGUUUGCCGAAGCUAGUCAUGUUCAGCUUAAAAUAAGCCGAGAUUGAAUCCUCGUUUGUAAACAAGCCAAAACACGAGUUGAAUUUUCCAACUUGUUUAAUAAAGAGAGCGGAAGCGAGUCAGGUGAACUCGCUCGUGUCAACUUCGGAUAAACAGCAUCGAAAAUAUUAUGAUAUAUAUAUAGUAUAUAUAUAUAUAUAAUAUAUAUAUAUAUAUAUAAUAUAUAUACUAAUUGAGAGAGAGAGAGAGAGAGAGAGAGCAAGAGAGAGAGAGAGAGAGAGAGGAGUCGCGGCUACUAAUCUGCUAUUAAUAGCAUUGAGGCGCAUUUCCCUAUCAACGUUUUGAUUGAUCGGAACUUCAAAUUGAUAAUCCACCGUGAAAUUGAUCUACACAAUUAGAAAUAUUUAGAAACCAAAUUUUUGUAAUAAUUAAAAAAUCAUUAUCAACGUUCAAUCUUAAGAUAAAAUGAAUGGUCGAAAUGAAUAAACUUAAUUAAAAAUAGAGGUUAGACUUUCUCAAUUCAAAUCAGAGUUGAUUCAAACAUUAUCUAAAUAAUAUAAAAAAUUUCUAAUCAAAAAUUCACAAUAUUAUUGGCUCAUAACAAACACGUUAAACAACCAAAACGCUCAUACAGGCCCGUCAAAAAAUUUUGUCGAUUUACGACACUUUGAUCACCAUGUAAAAUAAUUUUUAAAAAUUUAUUGAAAUUUAGUUUUAGAUAUUUCAAAAUACAUCAGAUCCAAACUUCACGGGUUCCCGAUCAAUGCGAUUCCAAAUGCCUCGAUCAUCAAAUAAAAUUGAUAGGAAAAGGUGUUCUAUUGCCUAAAUAGGAUAGUGCUCCCCGUUAUGAUAUAUACUAUAAACCAACACCCUAUCAACCGCUAGGGACCACUAAUCAUUUAACCGAAGACCACUAUCAUCCAUAACGCACAUUCCUUUAUCCAAAACGGCAGAAAACUCAAUAGUACCAAGGCUUGUACUAUUGAUAGUAUAUAGCAUAAUUAUAUAUAUAUAUAUAUAUAUAUAUUAUAUAUAAUAUAUAUAUUAUAUAGUGUGAGCUAGAAUAAACUAUCGAUAAGUAAACGAGCCGUUUUGGCUACCCCGAUUUGUUUUCGAUGAUCAGAAGUUUUCAAAAAUUGAACGAAUCGCUCCGUUAAAUAUGAUCUAAACCAUUUAAACUACCUAGAAAUCAAAUUUCACGCACUUUCGAUAUUGUUUUUUUAUCCAUCAAGUGAACAGAAAAAUGAAUGGUUGAAAAUAAAUACUUUUUAAAAAAUGAUGAUAGGAGUCUUGUAAUCAAGAUCAAGAGUAUAGAUCUUGUUUUAAAUAGUUUAAAGAAUUUUCUAACAAAAAUUCAAUUGAUUUGGAUAUCUUUACGCCGUUAAACGAGAAAACGCCUCUUAUCGACCAUUAAAAUUACAAAUUUUAAAACCCUUUGAUCAUUAGGCAAAUGAUGUCGAAAAGAUUUGAAAUUUGAUUUCUAAACACUUCAAGUGGUAUAGAUCAUGUUCAACGGAGCCGAUCGUCAAUUUGGAAGCUCUAUCAUCGAAAACAAAUCAGUAGUAAAACGACUCGUUUACUACCGAUAGUAUUCUACCUCAACUAUAUAUAUAUAUAUAUAUAUAUAUAUAUAUAUAUAUAUAUAUAUAGAGAGAGAGAGAGAGAGAGAGAGAGAGAGAGAGAGAGAGAGAGAGAGAGAGAGAAAGGCUACUAUCCUAUUAAUAGGAUUGGGACCCUUGUCCUAUCAAGUCGAUUUGAUCGAUCGGAAGUUCAAAUUGAUAAUCGGCACCGUUGAAAUUGAUCUACACAAUUAGAAAUAUUUAGAAACCAAAUUUUGUAAUAUUUCAUUAUCAAGUUCAUCUUGAAAGUUGAAAAAUAAAUGGUCAUAAAUAAAUAACCUUAUUAAAAUAGAGGUUAGACUUUCUCAAUUCAUAAUCAGAGUUAUCAAACGUUAUCUAAAUAGUAUAAAAAAUUUUCUAUCAAAAAUUCAAGCAAUUUGGAUUGCUCUACACCGUUAAACAAGCAAACGGCUCAUAUAGGCCGUCAAAAAUUGUCAAUUUUACGACACUUUGAUCACCAUGUAAAUAAUUUUUAAAAUUUAUGAAAUUUAGUUUUUAGAUAUUUCAAAUGCUCUAGAUCAACUUCAACGGCUCCGAUCAUCGAUUCGGAAUCCCUAUCGUCAAGAACAAUUUGAUAGGACAAGUGCUACUAUCCUAUUAAUAGGAUAGUAGCCCUAAUAUAUAUAUAUAUAUAUAUAGAGUUGAGCUAGAAUACUCUCAAAGUAUCAAGAUGUUGGUGCUUUUGAGUUUUUAACCCUUGGAUGGAGAAAUGUACGGUUGGGAUGAUGGUGGUAGGUGGUGGUAGGUGGAAUAGUGUUUGAUCCAAGGGCUAUUAGUAAAUAAGGAGUAGAUCCGAGGACUAAAAACCUAAUAGCACCAAGGGUGUGAUACUUCUAAAAGUAUUCUAGCUUAAUUCCAUAUAUAUAUAUAUAUAUAUAUAUAUAUAUAUAUAUAUAUAUAUAUAUAUAUAUAGAGUUUUGCUAGAAUACUAUCGGUAGUAAACGGCUCGGUUUACUACCGAUUUAUUUUCGAUGAUAGAGCUUCCAAAUUGAUAAUCGACACCAUUAAACAUGAUCCAAACUAUUUAAACUAUCUGGAAAUCAAAUUUCACACAUUUUCGAUAUUGUUCUUUUGUCCAUCAAGUGAACAGAAAAAUGAAUGGCUGGAAAUGAAUAUCCGUCAAAAAGUGAUGAUACAAUUUUUAUAUUUGAGAUCUAGAGUCUAGAUCUUAUUUUAAAUAGUUUAAAGAAUUUUUUAAUAAAAAUUUAGUUGAUUUGAACUCUUUUAUACCGUUAAACGAGCAAAUGCACUAUAUCGGCCAUUAAAAUUAUAGAUUUUGUGACCCUUUGAUCGUUUAGUUAGUGAUGCCAAAAAAUCAUGAAAUUUAAUUUCUAGAUAAUUUAAAUGGUUUAGAUCAUGUUCAACGGUGCAGAUCGUUGAUUUGGAAGCUCUAUCAUCAAAAACAAAUCGGUAGUAAAAUGAGCAGUUUACUACCGAUAGUAGCCCAAUACAAAUUUUUAUUAUUUAAUUUUUAGCCCAAUUUAAAUAUAAAACUUAACUCAAUUAUAAUAUAUAUAUAUAUAUAUAUUUCAACUAUUAGAUCAAAAUCUAUUAGGUAAGAUUUCAUAAAUUUAUUUUCUAUAUGUAUUAUUUUUAAUACUAUUAACUUGUUAUUCGUGAACUAGCUCGUACUCGGUUCGUUUUUUCAGUUUGAUACUUUAAAAAACAAGGUCAUGUUUGGUUUGGUUCAUCUCACUCGUGUUCGGCUCUUUAACACCCCUAAUUUAGAUAUUAUAUAUUAUAUUUAUUAAACUAUAUCUGAUUAUGAGGUGUAUGGAUAUACUAGUUGCGGGCAAUAAUUUCUCACCUAUCCCGCCCUCCCUCUCUCAACUGCUUUUCAGCGAGAAAGAAGGAAAAAAAGAGAGGCGAGGUGUAAAGAAAGAAAGACCAAAAAACAUUCAAUCACGCCUCCCUACAAUUGCCUAUUCGGGUUAGUCAGUGAUGGUUCCCGCACUAGCUUUGCGUGAAAAAAUAUAUGGUUAGUCCCUGUACUAUCCCAAAAUUGCAACUCGGCCCCUGUACCUUUUACUAUCAGAUGCGGCUUCUAUGAAAAUUUUGUAACAACAAAAUUUAGUUGGUUAUCGACCAUCUUUAGAGCAAGUGGCAAAGAACUUAGUAGCGUUAGUACCCGAGACCCAAAUUCGAAUCCUACCUGAUUCACAUUUCCAGCUAAGUUUAUUUCUAAAUGAAAUAAACGAAGCGAGUAGCGUGCUAUUUAUCUCUCUCAAAAAAAAAAAAACAAAAUUUAGUUGGUUUCCCAGGCUAAUUAUCUAAGAAUUUUAUAGAAACUUAUUAAUAAUCAACUAAUUAAUGUUGAUAUAAGUAGCAGUUUGAUUGCAUGUAGUUGCAACUGUACUGUAGUUGUAACUACAUAUAAAUACAAAUUAGGUUUGGUUUGAUAUAUUUAAUUCUAAUUGCUACAGUAAGAACUAAAGGAGGACGCCUAAUUAUAGCAGUUGAAACUACGCUCAAAUUGAUCACAAUUUUCAACUGCAGCAGUUGGAAAGAAUAUCUUUAAGUAAAAGAUAAACUUACCUCCCUAAUUAUUUUUUAAACAAACAAUAUAUAUUUUUUAUAUUGAAGGUAAUCUCUCUAUCAUAUAUAUAAAAUAAUAAAUUUUUAAAUAUUACUUCAAACUGCAUGCAACCAAACAAAUUAUUUGUAAUUGCAUUGUUUUCUACUAUAUCCAAUUAAACAGAAUGCAUGUAGUUGUAAUUACUGUAUUUUUAGCUACAUGUAUCUCCAGCUAUACUGUAUUUAUAAUUUAUAUCUAAUCAAAUGAUCCCUAAGUGUAUAUAGUAUGUUAAGUGAUUAUAAUGAUUAAAACUGAAAAUUAUUUACGGGAACAUUUAUAAAAAAUUUCUAAAAAUAUUUAGUUAAGUUAUUUUAUUUAUGUGAGAGGAAAAAUUUUAUAGAAAUUCAUUGGUAACUAGAUAAAUUUAUAAGACUAUACAUGUACAAAAUAUAAAAAAUAAAAUAAUUGAAAUAAUUAAAUGUAGUUAAAGAAAUGAAAGAAGACAAAAAAAAUGUGAGGUGUACGAGCUACUAUAACUAAAUUAUAUUAUAAAACUAUACUAGUAAAAAGCCCGUGCUUGGAUGCGGAUAGAUAAUAUUUCAACUAAUAUAUAUAUAUAUAUAGAGUUCGGCUACUAUGCUAUCAAUAGCACGGAGCAUUCGGUGCUAUCAAGUUUUUCGCUAUUAGAUCUACCCCUUUGAUCAUUUUUAUCCGUUAGAUUAUACUAUUUAACCAACCACCUACUCAACCCUCGGGGGCCCACAUCAUCCUAAUCGCACAUCUCUCAAUCCAAUGGCCGAAAACUUGGUAGUACUAAUGAUUUGGUGCUACUAAUAGCAUAGUAGCCUAGUUCUAUAUAUAUAUAGUCUGGCUGCUAUACUAUCGGUAACACGGAAGCUUCCGUGCUACCAAGUUGUUUUCGAUGAUGUGAUUUUCAAAUCGACGAUCGGCUCCGUUAGACUUUGAUCUAUACUAUUGAAAGUAUUUGAAAACUAAAUUUUAGAAUUUUUCGACAUCAUUUGGCUAGUGAUCAAAAGGUCUCAAAAUUGACAAUUUUAAUGGUAGAUGUGAUGCAUUCGUAAAUUUAAUGGUGUAAAACAAUCCAAAUCAGAUGAAAUUUUUAUAGAAAUUUUUUUUUACUAUUUAGAGUAAGAUCAAUACAUCUGAUCUUAAAUUCAAGUCUUCUAUCAUCAUUUUUUAUGAGAUUUUUAUUUUCAGCCGUUCAUUUUUAGACUACUCGUUUGAUAUGUAAAUGAUACCGAAAAAUUAUGAAAUUUAGUUUCCAAAUACUUUCAAUAGUGUAGAUCAAGUCUAACGAAGCCGAUCGUCGAUUUGGAAGCGGCAUCAUUGAAAACAACAAACUUACACGGGACGUCCAGCUACCGAUUAAGCAUAGCACGCCUAGUCGUGUGUGAUAAUUUAUAUAUUAUACAUAUUAUAUUAUAUAUAUAUAAUAAUAAUAUAAAAAUAUAUAAUAACUAUAAUUAUAACUAGGAAUAUAUAUAAUGCACCAUAUACCUUGGUGCUGAGUUAAGUUUUCUGCAUUGAAUAAAAUAUGUGCGUACGGAGAUUGUGCCCCUGGGUGAGGUGGUUGAUAGUAUCAUCGAACGGAAAAUGAUACAAGAAGUAAAUUCUAACGCAGAAAACGUUCGAUCAGCACCAAAUGCUUCGUGCUACCGAUAGAUCCAGCUGGCUAAUAUAAACAUUAUAGAUAUCAUAUAUUAUAUAUAGUAUUAGUGUCCCUUAGGUGUGGGUGUUGGUUAAAUAGUACUUGAUCUAACGGAUAUGAAUAAUGAUAAUGAAUAAAUUAAGGGUCGAAAAACUUAUGGUAUUUAAGGAGCUAAACUAAUUAAAUAGUAGCCGACUCAAUAUAUAGGCUGGGACGACAUCAUUCACUCUUAUGCAUUAUAACCCCUUAUACUCAUCAAAUAUUUUAAUUCGUGAUUAAUGUAUAUGUGUGCUCUAGGAAUGUGGUCCCAUUAAGAAUCAUAGUAGUCCCUUAGGUUUAGUGGGUAUUGUAAAUAGUAUAAUCAACGGAUGAAAAUGAAUUAAUAGGAAUAAAGUUUUUUGAGUAGGUUUCGAAAACUUAUGAAGUAUUAAAGGACUAAAUACUCAAUAAAUGUAUAGUAGCCGACUCAUAAAUAUAGGGCGACACAUAAUCUUUGAGUUAGUAGACCCUUAAUCUCAUAAAUUUUAACCGUGAAUUGAUAGUGUGUUUGGUGAUGACUGGUCCCCACUUAGAAUUGAUAGGUGUUCCCUGGGUUUAUGGUUAGUUGAUAAAUAGUAUGAUCUAACGGAUGAAAUCAGAUUAUUGGAAUUAAAGUCUAAGUCCGAAAACUUAUGAUGUGAGUAAAUGAGCAUAUACUCAUAAAAGAAUAUAGUAGCCGGACUCAAUAUCAGUUUUGAGGGUUUAUAAUAUAUAUAUAUAUAUAUAUAUAUAUAUAUAUAUAGUUAUUAAAAUUUUAGAAACAAAAAAAAAUUAUAUCAAAAAAAUAUAAAAAAAGAAAAAAUAUAUAUAAAAUAGUCUUAUGCCAAUUAUAAAAAAUAACUUUUUUAAUUAAUAUUUUCUUACCUUUCAGUAUUUAUAAAGUUGAAUUAUUAUAAAACUUUUAUUUAAAAAUUUAAUCAAAUUUUAUAGUUUUGAUAACUAUUCUAUAAAUAAAUUUUUUAACUUAAAGUUGGAGGGUUGAUUUCAAAUUGAAGAGUAAGUGAGAGUGUCAUUAUCUUGUUAAAAUUGAUUAGAAAAGAAGAAACUAUUAUAUGCACCUGAUGUAUAUUACACCGCAACUUAUGUUAAAUGACUAAUGUGCUAAUUAUUAGAUAUAUAAUCUAGAAAACAACUAGGCUAACUCAUGUAUUCUUUUUAGAAUAUAAAUUUAUAUUUAAUUUAAAUAUUAUGAAUGAAUUUAAAUUUUUAUUUUUAUUCAUGUUGUGUAUGUGCCCAUUAAUCAUCAAAAUAAUUAAUAAAAUGAUGACAAGUAUUCUCAAGAAUUGAAAAUUUGAGGCAUGUGUCAUUGAUGAUUAAUUACUAAAUGCUCCUGAUCGAUGGAUCAUUACGGAGACGGUGAUUGAUCUGAUAAGAUUAGGGAACAUGUUUCUUCCCUUUUGGGUAGACGAGUUUCAAGUUAACAGUAUGAGGAAACUGGAUCAAAUAUACAGGUUGUUGCUAGAGAACAAAGGUACCGAGCGUG
Molecule: long non-coding RNA, 17370 nt
Filed under: Ananas comosus (pineapple)
Lineage: Eukaryota; Viridiplantae; Streptophyta; Magnoliopsida; Poales; Bromeliaceae
Description: long non-coding RNA (ACOM_LNC023096)
Source: RNAcentral